CGCCUGGGGAGUACGGCCGCAAGGUUAAAACUCAAAUGAAUUGACGGGGGCCCGCACAAGCGGUGGAGCAUGUGGUUUAAUUCGACGCAACGCGAAGAACCUUACCUGGCCUUGACAUGCAGAGAACUUUCCAGAGAUGGAUUGGUGCCUUCGGGAACUCUGACACAGGUGCUGCAUGGCCGUCGUCAGCUCGUGUCGUGAGAUGUUGGGUUAAGUCCCGUAACGAGCACAACCCCUAUCCCUAGUUGCUAGCAGUUCGGCUGAGAACUCUAGGGAGACUGCCGGUGACAAACCGGAGGAAGGUGGGGAUGACGUCAGGUCAUCAUGGCCCUUACGGACAGGGCUACACACGUGCUACAAUGGUGCGCACAGAGGGCUGCAAACCCGCGAGGGGGAGCCAAUCUCACAAAACGCAUCGUAGUCCGGAUCGCAGUCUGCAACUCGACUGCGUGAAGUCGGAAUCGCUAGUAAUCGUGAAUCAGAAUGUCACGGUGAAUACGUUCCCGGGCCUUGUACACACCGCCCGUCACACCAUGGGAGUGGAUUGCACCAGAAGUGGUUAGUCUAACCUUCGGGAGGACGAUCACCACGGUGUGGUUCAUGACUGGGGUGAAGUCGUAACAAGGUAACCGUA
This 634-nucleotide ribosomal RNA is filed under the name uncultured Marinobacter sp. RNAcentral describes it as "bacterial SSU rRNA". It matches the Rfam family "Bacterial small subunit ribosomal RNA", at positions 870 to 1504 of the family's 1533-position model. The record is from RNAcentral. Lineage: Bacteria; Pseudomonadati; Pseudomonadota; Gammaproteobacteria; Pseudomonadales; Marinobacteraceae.